Molecule: ribosomal RNA, 1185 nt
Filed under: Phytoplasma sp.
Lineage: Bacteria; Bacillati; Mycoplasmatota; Mollicutes; Acholeplasmatales; Acholeplasmataceae
Description: bacterial SSU rRNA
Rfam family: Bacterial small subunit ribosomal RNA
Source: RNAcentral
GGCGAACGGGUGAGUAACGCGUAAGCAAUCUGCCCCUAAGACGAGGAUAACAGUUGGAAACGACUGCUAAGACUGGAUAGGAGACAAGAAGGCAUCUUCUUGUUUUUAAAAGACCUAGCAAUAGGUAUGCUUAGGGAGGAGCUUGCGUCACAUUAGUUAGUUGGUGGGGUAAAGGCCUACCAAGACUAUGAUGUGUAGCCGGGCUGAGAGGUUGAACGGCCACAUUGGGACUGAGACACGGCCCAAACUCCUACGGGAGGCAGCAGUAGGGAAUUUUCGGCAAUGGAGGAAACUCUGACCGAGCAACGCCGCGUGAACGAUGAAGUAUUUCGGUACGUAAAGUUCUUUUAUUAGGGAAGAAUAAAUGAUGGAGAAAUCAUUCUGACGGUACCUAAUGAAUAAGCCCCGGCUAACUAUGUGCCAGCAGCCGCGGUAAUACAUAGGGGGCAAGCGUUAUCCGGAAUUAUUGGGCGUAAAGGGUGCGUAGGCGGUUAAAUAAGUUUAUGGUCUAAGUGCAAUGCUCAACAUUGUGAUGCUAUAAAAACUGUUUAGCUAGAGUAAGAUAGAGGCAAGUGGAAUUCCAUGUGUAGUGGUAAAAUGCGUAAAUAUAUGGAGGAACACCAGUAGCGAAGGCGGCUUGCUGGGUCUUUACUGACGCUGAGGCACGAAAGCGUGGGGAGCAAACAGGAUUAGAUACCCUGGUAGUCCACGCCGUAAACGAUGAGUACUAAACGUUGGGUAAAACCAGUGUUGAAGUUAACACAUUAAGUACUCCGCCUGAGUAGUACGUACGCAAGUAUGAAACUUAAAGGAAUUGACGGGACUCCGCACAAGCGGUGGAUCAUGUUGUUUAAUUCGAAGGUACCCGAAAAACCUCACCAGGUCUUGACAUGCUUCUGCAAAGCUGUAGAAACACAGUGGAGGUUAUCAGUUGCACAGGUGGUGCAUGGUUGUCGUCAGCUCGUGUCGUGAGAUGUUGGGUUAAGUCCCGCAACGAGCGCAACCCUUAUUGUUAGUUACCAGCACGUAAUGGUGGGGACUUUAGCAAGACUGCCAGUGAUAAAUUGGAGGAAGGUGGGGACGACGUCAAAUCAUCAUGCCCCUUAUGACCUGGGCUACAAACGUGAUACAAUGGCUGUUACAAAGGGUAGCUGAAGCGCAAGUUUUUGGCGAAUCUCAAAAAAA